AACGCGAAGAACCUUACCUGGUCUUGACAUCCACAGAACUUUCCAGAGAUGGAUUGGUGCCUUCGGGAACUGUGAGACAGGUGCUGCAUGGCUGUCGUCAGCUCGUGUUGUGAAAUGUUGGGUUAAGUCCCGCAACGAGCGCAACCCUUAUCUUUUGUUGCCAGCGGUCCGGCCGGGAACUCAAAGGAGACUGCCAGUGAUAAACUGGAGGAAGGUGGGGAUGACGUCAAGUCAUCAUGGCCCUUACGACCAGGGCUACACACGUGCUACAAUGGCGCAUACAAAGAGAAGCGACCUCGCGAGAGCAAGCGGACCUCAUAAAGUGCGUCGUAGUCCGGAUUGGAGUCUGCAACUCGACUCCAAGAAGUCGGAAUCGCUAGUAAUCGUGGAUCAGAAUGCCACGGUGAAUACGUUCCCGGGUCUUGUACACACGC
This 434-nucleotide ribosomal RNA is filed under the name uncultured Escherichia sp. RNAcentral describes it as "bacterial SSU rRNA". It matches the Rfam family "Bacterial small subunit ribosomal RNA", at positions 958 to 1393 of the family's 1533-position model. The record is from RNAcentral. Lineage: Bacteria; Pseudomonadati; Pseudomonadota; Gammaproteobacteria; Enterobacterales; Enterobacteriaceae.